UUACGGCCAUAUCACUUUGAAACACCGAUUUUCGUCUGAUCACCGAAGGUAAAACAACGUCGAGUCUGGUCUGUAGCUAGAUGGGUGACCACUUGAGACUACCAGGUGCUGUAAG
This is a non-coding RNA of Acanthosepion pharaonis, 115 nucleotides long. The record is from the annotation of a GenBank genome assembly. NCBI's taxonomy places the organism in Eukaryota, Metazoa, Mollusca, Cephalopoda, Sepiida, Sepiidae.